Molecule: ribosomal RNA, 1354 nt
Filed under: uncultured marine eukaryote
Lineage: Eukaryota
Description: SSU rRNA
Rfam family: Eukaryotic small subunit ribosomal RNA
Source: RNAcentral
CACUUCUAAGGAAGGCAGCAGGCGCGCAAAUUACCCAAUCCUGACUCAGGGAGGUAGUGACAAGAAAUAACAAUAAACCGGCUUAUGCCGGUUUAAUUGGAAUGAGUACAAUUUAAACAUCUUAACGAGGAACAAUUGGAGGGCAAGUCUGGUGCCAGCAGCCGCGGUAAUUCCAGCUCCAAUAGCGUAUACUAAAGUUGUUGCAGUUAAAAAGCUCGUAGUUGGAUUUCUGUGGGGACGGAGCGGCCGGCCGCACAUCGCGGUUCGAGCUAGCGCUUUCCCUACAUCCUGCCGCGAACCGUGCUACCAUUAGUUUGGUGGCGCCGGGGAUCGGCUCGAUUACUUUGAGAAAAAUAGAGUGUUCAAAGCAGGCCACAUGCCUUGAAUAAGUUAGCAUGGAAUAAUAACUAAGGACUUCGGUUCUAUUUUGUUGGUGUUCGGGACUGAAGUAAUGAUUGAUAGGGACAGUUGGGGCGGUCUGUAUUCCAAAGCGAGAGGUGAAAUUCUUAGACCUUCGGAAGACAAACAGCUGCGAAAGCGUUCCGCAAGGAUGUUCCCUUUGAUCAAGAACGAAAGUUGGGGGAUCGAAGACGAUCAGAUACCGUCGUAGUCUCAACUAUAAACUAUACCAGCUAGGGAUCGGCCAACGUUAUUUUAUACCGACUUGGUCGGCACCUUAUGAGAAAUCAAAGCAUCUGGGUUCCGGGGGGAGUAUGGUCGCAAGGCUGAAACUUAAAGGAAUUGACGGAAGGGCACCACCAGCCGUGGAGCCUGUGGCUUAAUUUGACUCAACACGGGAAAACUUACCAGGUCCAGACAUAGUAAGGAUUGACAGAUUGAUAGCUCUUUCUUGAUUCUGUGGGUGGUGGUGCAUGGCCGUUCUUAGUUGGUGGAGUGAUUUGUCUGGUUGAUUCCGUUAACGAACGAGUCCCCAGCCUGCUAAAUAGCGCGUGUGAGCUUUGCUCGCAGCGAGCUUCUUAGAGGGACUAUGAUGCGCGAUAGCACAUGGAAGUUUGGGGCAAUAACAGGUCUGUGAUGCCCUUAGAUGUUCUGGGCCGCACACGGGCUACACUGGCGCCUGCAACGAGCAUAUCAGCUGGCCCGAGAGGGUCUUGGCUAAUCUUUUGAACCGGCGCCGUGCUUGGGAUUGACCUUUGCAAUUGUUGGUCAUGCAACGAGGAAUGCCUUGUAAACGCGAGUCAUCAGCUCGCAUUGAAUACGUCCCUGCCCUUUGUACACACCGCCCGUCGCUCCUACCGAUGAAUGUUCCGAUGAAAUUUUCGGAGAGCACCUGUGAACUUGGCUCUGCCUUGCGAACGGGAGGCUCAAAGUCACUUAAAUCUGAACAUUUCGA